CAAUAGCGUAUAUUAAAGUUGUUGCAGUUAAAAAGCUCGUAGUUGGAUUUCUGGUUGGAGCGACCGGUCGGGCAUUGAUUUGUCUGCACUGGAGUCGGUUCUGGCCAUCCUCUUGGAAAGUGCGUCUGUCAUUAAGUUGUCGGGCGUAUGAUCCAGGUCUUUUACUGUGAAAAAUUAGAGUGUUUAAAGCAGGCCUUCGCCUUGAAUACAUUAGCAUGGAAUAAUAAGAUAGGACCUCGGUUCUAUUUUGUUGGUUUCUUAGAGCUGAGGUAAUGAUUAAUAGGGAGUAGUUGGGGGCGAUUCGUAUUUAACUUGUCAGAGGUGAAAUUACUUGGAUUUGUUUAAAGAACGGACUACUGCGAAAGCAUUUGCCAAGGAUGUUUUCAUUGAUCAAGAACGAAAGUUAGGGGAUCGAAGACGAUUAGAUACCAU
RNAcentral lists this ribosomal RNA (432 nucleotides) under uncultured eukaryote. RNAcentral's name for it is "bacterial SSU rRNA". It matches the Rfam family "Eukaryotic small subunit ribosomal RNA", at positions 592 to 1018 of the family's 1831-position model. The record is from RNAcentral.